UGCAGAAGCAUUAGAGAUCGUCGCUGGCCUUUGGAAACGAAGGCAUGUGCACGUCUCGACCCUCUGCUCGGUCCUCGUUCUCUUUCCUUUCGUAAAUCUUUGACACCCGUGCACCUCUUGUAGGUCCCUGAGAGGGGACCUAUGUCUUCAUAAACUCUUCGUAUGUCCAGGAAUGUAUCUAAAGCGUCGACCGGCUUGGCUGAACGUCCAGUCGGCGACGGUAAAGAACGUAAUACAACUUUCAGCAACGGAUCUCUUGGCUCUCGCAUCGAUGAAGAACGCAGCGAAUUGCGAUAAGUAAUGUGAAUUGCAGAUUUUCAGUGAAUCAUCGAAUCUUUGAACGCACCUUGCGCUCCUUGGUAUUCCGAGGAGCAUGCCUGUUUGAGUGUCAUUUAAUUCUCAACCAUCCCUCGAUUGAUUUUUUUCGAGGUUUGGCUUGGAUUUUGGGAGCUGCCGGCGACCGGAUCGGGUCCUUGGCUCUCCUCAAAAGCAUUAGCGACGGUGGUGUGACCUCCCCCGUGCAUGAACGGCCUUCGACGUGAUAAUGAUCGUCGUGGGCUGGAGUGCUAGCGGGCGUCGCGUCGCGUUCGGCGCUUCUAAU
This 601-nucleotide ribosomal RNA is filed under the name Pholiota filamentosa. Its description in RNAcentral is "partial 5.8S ribosomal RNA". The stretch from base 237 to 391 matches the Rfam family "5.8S ribosomal RNA". The record is from RNAcentral. Lineage: Eukaryota; Fungi; Basidiomycota; Agaricomycetes; Agaricales; Strophariaceae.